GACGAACGCUGGCGGCGUGCCUAAUACAUGCAAGUAGAACGCUGAAGAGAGGAGCUUGCUCUUCUUGGAUGAGUUGCGAACGGGUGAGUAACGCGUAGGUAACCUGCCUUGUAGCGGGGGAUAACUAUUGGAAACGAUAGCUAAUACCGCAUAACAAUGGAUGACCCAUGUCAUUUAUUUGAAAGGGGCAAAUGCUCCACUACAAGAUGGACCUGCGUUGUAUUAGCUAGUAGGUGAGGUAACGGCUCACCUAGGCGACGAUACAUAGCCGACCUGAGAGGGUGAGCGGCCACACUGGGACGGAGACACGGCCCAGACGCCUACGGGAGGCAGCAGUAGGGAAUCUUCGGCAAUGGGGGCAACCCUGACCGAGCAACGCCGCGUGAGUGAAGAAGGUUUUCGGAUCGUAAAGCUCUGUUGUAAGUCAAGAACGAGUGUGAGAGUGGAAAGUUCACACUGUGACGGUAGCUUACCAGAAAGGGACGGCUAACUACGUG
Molecule: ribosomal RNA, 497 nt
Filed under: uncultured bacterium
Lineage: Bacteria
Description: partial 16S ribosomal RNA
Rfam family: Bacterial small subunit ribosomal RNA
Source: RNAcentral